RNAcentral lists this ribosomal RNA (420 nucleotides) under uncultured bacterium. RNAcentral describes it as "bacterial SSU rRNA". It matches the Rfam family "Bacterial small subunit ribosomal RNA", at positions 356 to 773 of the family's 1533-position model. The record is from RNAcentral.
GAGGAAUAUUGGUCAAUGGGCGAGAGCCUGAACCAGCCAAGUAGCGUGAAGGAUGAAGGCUCUAUGGGUCGUAAACUUCUUUUAUAUGGGAAUAAAGUUUUCCACGUGUGGAAUUUUGUAUGUACCAUAUGAAUAAGGAUCGGCUAACUCCGUGCCAGCAGCCGCGGUAAUACGGAGGAUCCGAGCGUUAUCCGGAUUUAUUGGGUUUAAAGGGAGCGUAGGUGGAUUGUUAAGUCAGUUGUGAAAGUUUGCGGCUCAACCGUAAAAUUGCAGUUGAAACUGGCAGUCUUGAGUACAGUAGAGGUGGGCGGAAUUCGUGGUGUAGCGGUGAAAUGCUUAGAUAUCACGAAGAACUCCGAUUGCGAAGGCAGCUCACUAGACUGUUACUGACACUGAUGCUCGAAAGUGUGGGUAUCAAAC